GAUGAACGCUGGCGGCGUGCCUAAUACAUGCAAGUCGAGCGAAUGGAUUAAGAGCUUGCUCUUAUGAAGUUAGCGGCGGACGGGUGAGUAACACGUGGGUAACCUGCCCAUAAGACUGGGAUAACUCCGGGAAACCGGGGCUAAUACCGGAUAAAAUUUUGAACCGCAUGGUUCGAAACUGAAAGGCGGCUUCGGCUGUCACUUAUGGAUGGACCCGCGUCGCAUUAGCGAGUUGGUGAGGUAACGGCUCACCAAGGCAACGAUGCGUAGCCGACCGGAGAGGGUGAUCGGCCACACUGGGACUGAGACACGGCCCAGACUCCUACGGGAGGCAGCAGUAGGGAAUCUUCCACAAUGGACGAAAGUCUGAUGGAGCAACGCCGCGUGAGUGAUGAAGGUUUUCGGAUCGUAAAACUCUGAUGUAAGGGAAGAACACGUACAAGAGGAAAUGCUCGUACCUUGACGGUACCUUACGAGAAAGCCACGGCUAACUACGUGCCAGCAGCCGCCGUAA
RNAcentral lists this ribosomal RNA (514 nucleotides) under uncultured bacterium. Its description in RNAcentral is "partial 16S ribosomal RNA". It matches the Rfam family "Bacterial small subunit ribosomal RNA", at positions 28 to 523 of the family's 1533-position model. The record is from RNAcentral.